AUCAUUAACGAGUUAGGGUCCCUCGUGGCCCGACCUCCCAACCCUUUGUCUACCUGACCACUGUUGCUUCGGCGAGCCCGUCUGUAAUGGACCGCCGGGGGGUACCUUGAUCGGCCCUCUGGUCCGCGCUCGUCGAUAGCCAAACUUUUAAAAUCUUAACCAAACGUGUCUCAAUCUAAGUAUUAUUUGUUAAAUAAAAGCAAAACUUUCAACAACGGAUCUCUUGGUUCUGGCAUCGAUGAAGAACGCAGCGAAAUGCGAUAAGUAAUGCGAAUUGCAGAAUUUCAGUGAGUCAUCGAAUCUUUGAACGCACAUUGCGCCCUUUGGUAUUCCGAAGGGCAUGCCUGUUCGAGCGUCAUUAUCACCCCUCAAGCCCCCGGCUUGGUGUUGGACGGUUUGGUGGAGGCCCCCUCGCGGGGCCACCGCCCCUCCCAAAGACAAUGACGGCGGCCUCGUUGGACCCCCGGUACACUGAGUUCUUCACGGGACACGUAUCGGACACAUGGGUUUACGGGACACGGUCUGCCUCCCCUCAGGGAGAAUCUUUCUAAGGUUGACC
RNAcentral lists this ribosomal RNA (559 nucleotides) under Exophiala pisciphila. RNAcentral describes it as "eukaryotic LSU rRNA". The stretch from base 204 to 358 matches the Rfam family "5.8S ribosomal RNA". Lineage: Eukaryota; Fungi; Ascomycota; Eurotiomycetes; Chaetothyriales; Herpotrichiellaceae. The record is from RNAcentral.